RNAcentral lists this ribosomal RNA (253 nucleotides) under uncultured bacterium. Its description in RNAcentral is "partial 16S ribosomal RNA". It matches the Rfam family "Bacterial small subunit ribosomal RNA", at positions 524 to 776 of the family's 1533-position model. The record is from RNAcentral.
UACGUAGGUGACAAGCGUUAUCCGGAAUUACUGGGCGUAAAGCGCACGCAGGCGGUUAGAUAAGUUCGAUGUGAAACCUUUCGGCUUAACCGGAAGACGUCGUUGAAUACUGUUUGACUUGAGGCAAUGAGAGGAAUGCGGAAUUCCCGGUGUAAUGGUGGAAUAUGUAGAUAUCGGGAGGAACAUCUGUGGCGAAAGCGGCAUUCUGGCAUUAGCCUGACGCUCAUGUGCGAAAGCGUGGGUAGCAAACGGG